RNAcentral lists this long non-coding RNA (6203 nucleotides) under Homo sapiens (human). RNAcentral describes it as "HSALNT0206719". The record is from RNAcentral. Lineage: Eukaryota; Metazoa; Chordata; Mammalia; Primates; Hominidae.
GUUUUUUCCAAAGAUUCACCAGCCUCUGCCUAGGAAAAGCGCAGGCAUAUAAAAAGACCCUGUGCCCAUGAACAGGAGCUUUUUAUCAUCACCCAGUCUGGAGGGAGGCCAGAAUGCCUCUCUCUGUGUAUCUCUUUUGCCUGGACCUGAGAACAUGUCAGCAUUUCAAUGCAUUUAUCCAGGUUCCAUUCCCAUUUUUCCCAUUUUCCUCUAAACAGGCUGCCUCUACUCUCCAAGUUGACUCCAUUCAAUCUCUUGCGGCUGCUGCUUCCCUAACUCUGAGUCCUUGCCUUCUGCUACAUUUGGUUACAAUUAACGUCCAGCUUGUCUUCUAGACCUCACCUGCUCUGGGCUCUGGACCCAGGAGAGCCCCGCAUGUGGGCUGCAGUCUCCCUCGCUGCUUCCUCUUGGAUGGAUUUCAUUUUGCCUGCUUCCCACCUUGACAUUUUGACAAACCAGCAAUGGCCCAGAAUUGUUCCUAUGCUCUUUUCCCUGAGCUCAUGCCCACCCCUGUGAUUGAUAGGACUGGCUUUUAGCUUGGCAAGGUGAUCCUUUUUUAAGGGCAUGUCCAGAGGGAGCACAUAGUGACCUCACUCUGGCCAGGACAUUGCUGGGUACAGAAUAUAACUCCUUGGUGUUUGGCCUCCUGAGUCACUCAUUCAUUACAUAAAGUCUUUAUCUUCGUGCAUAUCCUGGAACAAUACUCUUAAAUAAAUACUCUCGGAGGCAUUUUACUCCAUGGCUAUUUACUUUGCAUUUCCAUGAUCUCAAUGGAACACAGAAAGGGAGGAGGUAGAAGGCUUGGCAAACAAUCAUUUGCCACCAUCUACGCACAAGGGGACAAGUGCGAAGGAUAUUGUUUUGUUUAAGAGAGAGACACGUCAUUGACUUGACAUAAUCCAUCUGUGUUCGGACCAGAGUGGAUUAGAAAAUUCCACUUGGCAAAGCAUGCUAGAUAACCUCUAUCUUGAGAGAACAGAGGCAAUUUGGGUUUGGAGUUAAAAGUCCUGGUUUCAUUUCCCAGCUUAUCCCCCUUAGCCUUGAGACCUUGGGCAAGUCCUUGAACUUUUCUGAGUCUCAGUUACAUUCCACCAUCAAGAAAUAAUAAUGGGCCUCCCAUCUACUCCUUCAGAUUGCUUUGAGUUAAAAUGAGAUAAUGUCCCCUGAAUGCUAAAGUGUGAAAAAUCUGAAGAAAAAAAUAUAAAGCCAUGAAUUAGCAGCCUGCUCUUAAAAUGAUUACUAAUGUUGGUCAUUAUUACUAGCUUCAGCAUCAUCAUAUAUGAUUGUUUGAUUUUUAAAAAACCUGAUGAGAUUAAAACUUAUUUUGAAAGGAUGUUAAGUCCACAGAUAAAAAUGCACUGGGCUAUCAAAAUUUUAGACCCACCGACAUUUAUCGGUGAGAUCUUACCUGCCCCUUUUAUCUACCUCUUCCUCCUAUUUAUCCUUCUCAAUUCACUAUGAACAGAAAGAUCUGCCCUCAACAAAUAAAUACAGAUUCCCAUGAAAACCUGCCAAAAGGAAAACCAAAAGAGGAAGAGGAUAUAAGAUUUCUCAAGGUUCACUGUGUUUAUUUCCAGUUAAGCCAACCUGACUCCAUUCAUGCCCUGAGACAGCAUGUGCUUAUUUUUACAACAAUUGCCAGUCCAUAGGCCAUCCCAAAGGGCUGCUGGAUGUCUUCCCAGGAACCCAGUGGAGGGGCAAUCUGUUUUUUAUUUCAUUUUUAGAAAGUGGGAAGGAUCCAGCCAUUGGCUGCCCCCAGAAUCUUGCUGGACUGGCCCAUGACUGGGACAGGCUGGAGACAGUUACACAAGUCCAGUCAUAAGCAGGCUUCUCAAAAUCUGACAGAGAACGAGAGCUACACACCUGGCCACUCUGUAGGUAUUGGUACCCACCCCUUUCUCUUUACUCACGUAGGUAGACAACUACAUGAUAUAAGAUGUUGAUGUGGUUUGGCUCUGUGUCCCCACUCAAAUCUCAUCUCAAAUUGUAAUCCCCAUGAGUUGACGGAGGGACCUGGUGGGAGGUGACUGGAUCAUGGGGGUGGGUUUCCUCCAUGCUGUUCUCAUGACAGUGAGUGAGUGAGUUCUCAUGAGAUCUGAUGGUUUAAAACUGGCACUUCCCACCUUGCUCUUUCUCUCCCCUCCCUCCAUGCCAGAUAGGCACCAGCAAUACUUCUCCGAGGAGUGUGCUUCCCAUUCAGCAAUGAUUGUGAGUUUCCUGAGGCCUCCCCAGCCAAGUGGAACUGUGAGUCCAUUAAACCUCUUUUCUAAGUUACUUAUAUAUAAGUGUGAAAAUGGACUAAUACAGCUGUCUUUUAAAAACUACAAACAUAGGAACUCAAAUGCUUUCAACCUAAUUCACCAAAGGCAAUGUAAUCACCUGGUAGACCAUGCCUUUAAUUCAGUUGUCCUUCCACUGUUCAAAACAUCCUUGGAACUCAUUUUUUAAAAAUUAUCUUCAGAGAAUGUAGCAUCUUCUGGAUAUCCUGAAUGCAUGAAGUUUUCAAACUUUUAGUGUAAGUAUGAUUUUUGAAAGCAGUUAAAGACCGUGAUGCUAGUGUAGUAAAUGUGGUCAGGUCUAAAGCUAAAUACAAUUUGUUCAUAGUGUUAAAGGAAGUGCAAUCAUAAAGUCAAGGGAUAUUUUUGGAAGUGAUUAUAAAAAUGGCUCUGAAUGGAGCUAGAUUUUACUGAUGGCAGCAUCCUCAGGGAUAACUGAAUGGCUUCCCAAAGUAAACUUUUGAGGGGGCCAAAAAUUUAACUCUGUUACUUUACUCUGUAGUUGUCAUGCAUUUUAUGAGAUGCUGACACUUACCCUUUCCAUAAUAGAUACUGGUAAAAUAGCCUCUUCCCAGCUGCAACCUCUACCACCACCAAGUUUACAGUAUGCAUAGAAAUGGUAUGGGGUUGCUGAAGAAAGAAAGGAAACAAAUUCAUGCUCAAGUAGAGCAACUUCUUACACCUCUAGCAGAGAAAUGAUAAGGCUUCUGAGACCAUCAUGAGGAAGGGAUGGAGCCCAGAAAUGUCUUUCUACAGUGCACCCUAGUUCCACCCACUGGACCCCCGCAGUGGAUCAGCAUACUCCUCAGAGAGCUAUUGCUGGUGCCCAUCUGGCAUGCUGAUUAAAAAGCAAUACGUACGCCAUGAUGUCUUUGGAACCAUUGUCUGAUGUGGAGGGGAACUGUGUCAAUAAAUCAUGAUAACAGUUAAUUCAAGUAAUAAAUACUUUUAUGGUUGAAUAUUAUAUUAUUUGUUUUUAAGUCUGGCUGAUAUCUAUUAUAAUGAGAUUUUCCUUUACUAUUCCAUUUCAUUAUAAUUGACAGUAUUUGUGUGAAAUAUUGAGGGAGCUCUGAUAGCCACAUUCAAAAAUAUAGUCAAGGUCUGUCAUGGGGCAUCCCAUCUAAGACAGAGCCCUCGGGGACAAGCCACAAGGGCGCAUACUGAAACAGAACCCUGGGGAACGCCUGAGCUAAUAUCAAAUCAUAAGACAAGAAGCAAACUUAUGUUCAAUAAAAUUUGAUGGGGGCAUCUUGAGAGACAAUGGUAAGGUCUUGAGGUUGCUGUUUAAACAGUAUGGAAAUGGAUAAGAAAUCACUGCCUCAGAUUUGGUUGGUAGCCAAUAAAGGCUUAGGGAUUAGCAAAAAGUUAGAAACUAUUGAAAAUAAUGAAAAGAUAGGAUCUAGCCUUCACCAUCUCUAUACAAAAUAAAUUAAUUUAAAUUAGUACAAUCCUAGGAGGUCCUUCCCAUCAACUACGAUCAUGAGCAAGCAAAUAGUUAAAAUGGAACCAUGUGUUGUUUCACGUAAAGAAAAAGGCUUGAGUUUUUGGUAACAGUUCUACCUGUAAAAUAGUAAAGCUGUAGAUACCUAUAGCAUUGAUGAUGGCAGGGGGGAGAUGAUAUUAUGUCAGUGACAGCGAGCCAAGCCCCAUCUAAAAGAAAGGUAAGCUGGGAGUUUUACUUAAAAAGCCUACCUAAAUUGACAGCUCUCACAGAAUGCACUGGAAUUUGGGGGUAAAGAUAGAAUCUUCCCUCAGGUUUGAAAAACAAGCUCUUAUUCACAUUUUCUAUUUUCCCAUUGACAUGAAAAUUGCCUAAGAAAAGUAGACGAGAUCCCAGGGGCACACUGCUUUUCAACUUGAAUCUUUGCCUUCCCUUUUCAUUUUUUACUUACAGUGAGUACAUGCAUGUAUGCAUGCACAUGUGUAUGUGUGUGUACACGUUUGUGGGGGCGGGGAGGUUGUCCAUGGAGAUUUUCUCUUAAAGGAAAGCCUAUUUCCCUCAGCGGUAGGAAAAUUGAAGCCUGCACCCUCCUAAUACAAGACCUACUCUUUUCUUUAAAACAUAGAAGACUUAUCUUUUGAAAUGGGGUAGCCGCUUAAGGAAUAGAUAAAUUCCCUGCGAUAUUUACUCCCAGAAAGAAAAAAAUAGUAUAAAGAAUAAUUUUAAUACUUGGGUCACUGAGAUUUUGGAAUGAGCCUCAGGCUGUUUCAGAGAGAAGUCUGUGUAUUCAGGUUGCAUGGAGAGCUGUGUUUAUUUGGAAAGGCAAAUUAUAUAUGAUAUACUUGGUGUUAUUCAGUGUGCAAAAUGCUACAAAAGCCUACUGUAUGCAUACUUACUUGUUAUACCCACAUUUCAUUAAACCUCACAGACAUUGUUACCCAUAGUUCACACUCUGGACUGCCAAGGGGUUACCACCCAUUUCCUAAUAUACCAAAGAUACCCCAAAAGAGAUAUGACGGGCAGAUGUAACCCUCUUUUUCAACUACUAUGGCAUCUUUAAGCAUUUAAACUACUAUCACAUCUCUAAGUAUUUAGGGAGUGUGAUUAUUAAUGUUGUACCUCAACUUGACUGGGCCAUGGGGUGCCCAGACGUUUGAUCAGACAUUCCUCUGGGUGUUUGCCUGCCAGGGUAUUAUUGGAAGAAACUUGCAUUUGCAUCAGGAGACUGAGUACGGUAGAUUGCCCUCCCUAAUGUGGGUCGGCGUUGUCCAAUCAGUUGACAGCCUGGAUAGAACAAAAUGGCACAGUAAGAGAGAGCUCCUCCUGUUUGACUGCUGAGUUGGGACAUCAGUCAUUUCUGAACUUCAGACUAGGACUGAAAUAUCAACUUUUGUUGGGUCUCGAGCCUGCCAGCUUUCAGACUGGACCUUACACCAGUGGCUCCCCUGUUCUCAGGCUUUCAGACCUGGACUGGAACCACAUGUGGACUCUCUUGUUCUGCCAAUUGCAGAACUUGAGGCCUCUUGGGCUCCAUAUCACAUGAGCUAAUUCCCGAUAAUAAAUAUGUGUGUGUGCAUGUGUGUAUGUGUGUGUGUGUUUGUCUUGUUGGUUCUGGUUCUCUAGAGAACCCUGACUAAUAUAGGAAGUAAGGGGUAAAACUAAGAUACAUUUCCUUAGUUAUAAAAUGAAAAAAAUAAGCUAAAUCAUAUAAUUAUUUUGAUGCUUACAUGAGAUGUUACAUUUCUUGUUAGAUACUUGUAUUAGUCUAUUCUCACAUUGCUAUAAAUAAAUACCUGAGACUGGGUAAUUCAUAAAGGAAGGAGGUUUAAUUGUCCCGCGGUUCUGCAGGCUAUACAGGAAGCAUGGUGCUGGCAUCUGCUCAGCUUCUUGGGAGGCUUCAGGAUCUUACAAUCAUGGCAGAAGACAAAGAGGAAACAGGCACAUCACAUGGCCAGAGCAGGAGCAAGAAAGAGAGAGGGAAGUGCCACACAUGUUUAAACAGCCAGAUCUCAUGAGGACUCACUGUACAGUACCAAAGAAGGAUGGUGCUAAAUCAUUUAAGAAAAUCCGCCCCCAUGAUCGAAUCACCUCUCACCAGGUCCCACCUCCAACACUGGGGAUUUAAUUGAACAUGAGAUUUGGGUGAGGACACAGAUCCAAACCAUAUCAGUACUCCACACUGUGUUAGGUGUAAAGAAAACCUAACCAGUGGUUCCCCAACCACCUUCUCCCAACACCACAUGUUCAUCACCACAAACUUUCUUUCUGUCCUUAGAUCUGCCACCCACCAAAGGAAGAGCAGUACAGUCUUCACUCAGUAUUUGCAGGGGAUUGGUUUCAGGACCCCCAAAGAUACCAAAAUCCAUUGAUGCUCAAAUCAAUGAAAUAAAAUCAUGUAGUGUUUACAUAUAACCCACUGCACAUUCUCUCGUAUACUUUAAAUCAUCUGUAGAUUAUUUAUAAUACCUAAUAAAGGUAAAUGCUAU